RNAcentral lists this ribosomal RNA (467 nucleotides) under uncultured bacterium. Its description in RNAcentral is "partial 16S ribosomal RNA". It matches the Rfam family "Bacterial small subunit ribosomal RNA", at positions 28 to 507 of the family's 1533-position model. The record is from RNAcentral.
GACGAACGCUGGCGGCGUGCUUAACACAUGCAAGUCGAACGGAAAGGCCUCUUUCGGGGGGUACUCGAGUGGCGAACGGGUGAGUAACACGUGAGUAACCUGCCCUUGACUUUGGGAUAACUUCAGGAAACUGGGGCUAAUACCGGAUAGGAGCUCCUGCUGCAUGGUGGGGGUUGGAAAGUUUCGGCGGUUGGGGAUGGACUCGCGGCUUAUCAGCUUGUUGGUGGGGUAGUGGCUUACCAAGGCUUUGACGGGUAGCCGGCCUGAGAGGGUGACCGGCCACAUUGGGACUGAGAGACGGCCCAGACUCCGACGGGAGGCAGCAGUGGGGAAUAUUGCACAAUGGGUGGAAGCCGGAUGCAGCAACGCCGUGUGCGGGAGGACGGCCUUCGGGUUGGAAACCGCUUUCGCUCAUGACGAAGCUUUGUGUGACGGUAGUGGGUAAAGAAGCACCGGCUAACUACGUG